RNAcentral lists this ribosomal RNA (463 nucleotides) under uncultured bacterium. Its description in RNAcentral is "partial 16S ribosomal RNA". It matches the Rfam family "Bacterial small subunit ribosomal RNA", at positions 28 to 507 of the family's 1533-position model. The record is from RNAcentral.
GAUGAACGCUGACAGAAUGCUUAACACAUGCAAGUCUUUGGCGAAGCUGUGCUUGCACAGCCUAGCCAAGGCGGACGGGUGAGUAACGCGUAAGGAACUUGCCCUGCAGUCAGGGAUAACAGACGGAAACGACUGAUAAGACCUGGUAAAGUCAGGCGGACUCAUGUCCAGCCUGAUGAAAAGAGAUGCUGCAGGAGAGCCUUGCGUCCUAUUAGCUUGUUGGUGGGGUAACGGCCCACCAAGGCGAUGAUAGGUAGCCGGCCUGAGAGGGAGGACGGCCACAAGGGGACUGAGAUGCGGCCCUUACUCCUGCGGGAGGCAGCAGUGGGGAAUAGUGGACUAUGGGGGCAACCCUGAUCCAGCAAUUCUGUGUGCACGAUGAAGGUUUUCGGAGUGUAAAGUGCUUUCAGCAGGGAAGAAGAGAAUGACGGUACCUGCAGAAGAAGCGACGGCUAACUACGUG